ACAUCCAGCGAACUUGGCAGAGAUGCCUUGGUGCCUUCGGGAACGCUGAGACAGGUGCUGCAUGGCUGUCGUCAGCUCGUGUUGUGAAAUGUUGGGUUAAGUCCCGNAACGAGCGCAACCCUAUCCUUUGUUGCCAGCGAUUCGGUCGGGAACUCAAAGGAGACUGCCGGUGAUAAACCGGAGGAAGGUGGGGAUGACGUCAAGUCAUCAUGGCCCUUACGAGUAGGGCUACACACGUGCUACAAUGGCGCAUACAAAGAGAAGCGACCUCGCGAGAGCAAGCGGACCUCAUAAAGUGCGUCGUAGUCCGGAUCGGAGUCUGCAACUCGACUCCGUGAAGUCGGAAUCGCUAGUAAUCGUGGAUCAGAAUGCCACGGUGAAUACGUUCCCGGGCCUUGUACACACCGCCCGUCACACCAUGGGAGUGGGUUGCAAAAGAAGUAGGUAGCUUAACCUUCGGGAGGGCGCUUACCACUUUGUGAUUCAUGAUUGGGGUGAAGUCGUAACAAGGUAAGCGUAGCGAG
Molecule: ribosomal RNA, 524 nt
Filed under: uncultured bacterium
Lineage: Bacteria
Description: bacterial SSU rRNA
Rfam family: Bacterial small subunit ribosomal RNA
Source: RNAcentral